Molecule: ribosomal RNA, 459 nt
Filed under: uncultured bacterium
Lineage: Bacteria
Description: partial 16S ribosomal RNA
Rfam family: Bacterial small subunit ribosomal RNA
Source: RNAcentral
CCUACGGGAGGCAGCAGUGAGGAAUAUUGGUCAAUGGGCGAGAGCCUGAACCAGCCAAGUAGCGUGAAGGAUGACUGCCCUAUGGGUUGUAAACUUCUUUUAUAAAGGAAUAAAGUGAGGCACGUGUGCCUGUUUGUAUGUACUUUAUGAAUAAGGAUCGGCUAACUCCGUGCCAGCAGCCGCGGUAAUACGGAGGAUGCGAGCGUUAUCCGGAUUUAUUGGGUUUAAAGGGUGCGUAGGCGGGCUGUAAAGUCAGCGGUAAAAGCGGGGGGCUCAACCCCGGCGAGCCGUUGAAACUGGGGAUCUUGAGUGGUCGAGAGGUAUGCGGAAUGCGUAGUGUAGCGGUGAAAUGCGUAGAUAUUGCGCAGAACUCCGAUUGCGAAGGCAGCAUACCGGCGCCGAACUGACGCUGAGGCACGAAAGCGUGGGUAUCGAACAGGAUUAGAUACCCGUGUAGUC